This 388-nucleotide non-coding RNA is filed under the name Linnemannia elongata AG-77. RNAcentral's name for it is "Mortierella elongata AG-77 Eukaryotic large subunit ribosomal RNA". It matches the Rfam family "Eukaryotic large subunit ribosomal RNA", at positions 3004 to 3399 of the family's 3401-position model. The record is from Rfam by way of RNAcentral. Lineage: Eukaryota; Fungi; Mortierellomycota; Mortierellomycetes; Mortierellales; Mortierellaceae.
AAUGUUGUUGCAAUAGCAAUUUAACUUUCGAGAGGAGCCGAUCAUUCGGAUAAUUGGUAUGGGUCGGCUUGAGCAGAGAAUGACCCGAACCCAUCAUCCGUUAGGUUACGGCUGAACGCCUCUAAGCCAGACCCGUGCUAAAACGCGACGAGCACUGCCUUUUCCCGAUAUUUAAUCGAAUAAAAAUAACCCCUUAGGUCCAAGAUCAUACUACAUGGGGUUAUGUUGCAGGGUGGAAAUGCUUUGUGAGGCUGCUGCUAAUGUCAAUGUCAAACAUUGGAAGAGAUAAAUCCAUUGCAGACGACUUUAGCUGAACGGGGUAUUGUAAGCAGUAGAGUAGCCUUGUUGCUAUGAUCUGCCGAGAUGAAGCUCAUUGUUCAAUAGAUUU